Molecule: ribosomal RNA, 564 nt
Filed under: uncultured Glomeromycotina
Lineage: Eukaryota; Fungi; Glomeromycota
Description: SSU rRNA
Rfam family: Eukaryotic small subunit ribosomal RNA
Source: RNAcentral
UUGGAGGGGAAGUCUGGUGCCAGCAGCCGCGGUAAUUCCAGCUCCAAUAGCGUAUAUUAAAGUUGUUGCAGUUAAAAAGCUCGUAGUUGAAUUUCGGGACCAAUAUGUCGGUCGUGCUUCGGUACGUACUUGCAUUAUUGGUUUCUCCCUUCUGAAGAACCAUGAUGUCAUUAAUUUGGUGUCUUGGGGAAUCAGGACUGUUACUUUGAAAAAAUUAGAGUGUUUAAAGCAGGCUCGCGCUUGAAUACAUUAGCAUGGAAUAAUGAAAUAGGACGUUCGAUCCUAUUUUGUUGGUUUCUAGGAUUGACGUAAUGAUUAAUAGGGAUAGUUGGGGGCAUUAGUAUUCAAUUGUCAGAGGUGAAAUUCUUGGAUUUAUUGAAGACUAACUACUGCGAAAGCAUUUGCCAAGGAUGUUUUCAUUAAUCAAGAACGAAAGUUAGGGGAUCGAAGACGAUCAGAUACCGUCGUAGUCUUAACCAUAAACUAUGCCGACUAGGGAUCGGAUGAUGUUAAUUUUUUAAUGACUCAUUCGGCGCCUUACGGGAAACCAAAGUGUUUGGGUUC